Molecule: ribosomal RNA, 645 nt
Filed under: uncultured archaeon
Lineage: Archaea
Description: bacterial SSU rRNA
Rfam family: Archaeal small subunit ribosomal RNA
Source: RNAcentral
UCUGCGGCCGAUUAGGUUGUUGUUGGGGUAACGGCCCAACAAGCCUGUAAUCGGUACGGGUUGUGGGAGCAAGAGCCCGGAGAUGGAUUCUGAGACAUGAAUCCAGGCCCUACGGGGCGCAGCAGGCGCGAAAACUUUACAAUGCGGGAAACCGUGAUAAGGGGACACCGAGUGCCAGCAUCCUAUGCUGGCUGUCCGGGUGUGUAAAAUACACCUGUUAGCAAGGGCCGGGCAAGACCGGUGCCAGCCGCCGCGGUAACACCGGCGGCCCGAGUGGUGAUCGUGAUUAUUGGGUCUAAAGGGUCCGUAGCCGGUUUGGUCAGUCCUCCGGGAAAUCUGACAGCUCAACUGUUAGGCUUUCGGAGGAUACUGCCAGACUUGGAACCGGGAGAGGUAAGAGGUACUACAGGGGUAGGAGUGAAAUCUUGUAAUCCCUGUGGGACCACCUGUGGCGAAGGCGUCUUACCAGAACGGGUUCGACGGUGAGGGACGAAAGCUGGGGGCACGAACCGGAUUAGAUACCCGGGUAGUCCCAGCCGUAAACGAUGCUCGCUAGGUGUCAGGCAUGGCGCGACCGUGUCUGGUGCCGCAGGGAAGCCGUGAAGCGAGCCACCUGGGAAGUACGGCCGCAAGGCUGAAACUUAA